GAUGAACGCUAGCGGCAGGCUUAAUACAUGCAAGUCGAGGGCAGCAGUCCCGCAGCAAUGCGGGAGCUGGCGACCGGCAAACGGGUGCGGAACACGUACAGAACCUUCCUUCGAGCGGGGAAUAGCCCAGAGAAAUUUGGAUCAAUACCCCAUAGCAUUACGAAGUGGCAUCACUUUGUAAUUAAAGAUUUAUCACUCGAAGAUGGCUGUGCGGCUGAUUAGGUAGUUGGCGGAGUAACGGCCCACCAAGCCUUCGAUCAGUAACUGGUGUGAAG
RNAcentral lists this ribosomal RNA (275 nucleotides) under uncultured bacterium. RNAcentral describes it as "partial 16S ribosomal RNA". It matches the Rfam family "Bacterial small subunit ribosomal RNA", at positions 28 to 297 of the family's 1533-position model. The record is from RNAcentral.